This 67-nucleotide transfer RNA is filed under the name Galegeeska revoilii (Somali elephant shrew). RNAcentral's name for it is "tRNA-Lys". The record is from RNAcentral. Lineage: Eukaryota; Metazoa; Chordata; Mammalia; Macroscelidea; Macroscelididae.
CAUUAAGAAGCUAUUGCAGCAUUAACCUUUUAAGUUAAAGAAGAGGUUCUAUUUUCCUCCUUGAUGA